GUGGAUUAGAUACCCUGGUAGUCCACGCUGUAAACGAUGUCAACUAGCUGUUGGUUAUAUGAAUAUAAUUAGUGGCGCAGCAAACGCGAUAAGUUGACCGCCUGGGGAGUACGGUCGCAAGAUUAAAACUCAAAGGAAUUGACGGGGGCCCGCACAAGCGGUGGAGCAUGUGGUUUAAUUCGAUGCAACGCGAAGAACCUUACCUACCCUUGACAUACAGUGAAGCUUGCAGAGAUGUGAGUGUGCCUUCGGGAACACUGAUACAGGUGCUGCACGGCCGUCGACAACU
This 289-nucleotide ribosomal RNA is filed under the name uncultured bacterium. Its description in RNAcentral is "partial 16S ribosomal RNA". It matches the Rfam family "Bacterial small subunit ribosomal RNA", at positions 773 to 1060 of the family's 1533-position model. The record is from RNAcentral.